This 872-nucleotide ribosomal RNA is filed under the name uncultured bacterium. RNAcentral's name for it is "bacterial SSU rRNA". It matches the Rfam family "Bacterial small subunit ribosomal RNA", at positions 507 to 1397 of the family's 1533-position model. The record is from RNAcentral.
GCCAGCCGCCGCGGUAAAUACGGAGGGGGUUAGCGUUGUUCGGAAUUACUGGGCGUAAAGCGCGCGUAGGCGGACUGGAAAGUUGGGGGUGAAAUCCCGGGGCUCAACCUCGGAACUGCCUCCAAAACUAUCAGUCUAGAGUUCGAGAGAGGUGAGUGGAACUCCGAGUGUAGAGGUGAAAUUCGUAGAUAUUCGGAAGAACACCAGUGGCGAAGGCGGCUCACUGGCUCGAUACUGACGCUGAGGUGCGAAAGUGUGGGGAUUUUUUAGGAUUAGAUACCCUGGUAGUCCACACCGUAAACGAUGAAUGCCAGUCGUCGGGUAGCAUGCUAUUCGGUGACACACCUAACGGAUUAAGCAUUCCGCCUGGGGGGUACGGUCGCAAGAUUAAAACUCAAAGGAAUUGACGGGGGCCCGCACAAGCGGUGGAGCAUGUGGUUUAAUUCGAAGCAACGCGCAGAACCUUACCAAACCCUUGACAUUCCUAGGACCACCCGAGAGAUCGGGCUUUCACUUCGGUGACCUAGUGACAGGUGCUGCCAUGGCCUGUCGUCAGCUCGUGUCGUGAGAUGUUCGGUUAAGUCCGGCACCGAGCGCAACCCACAUCCCUAGUUGCCAGCAGUUCGGNUNGGCACUCUAUGGAAACUGCCCGUGAUAAGCGGGAGGAAGGUGUGGAUGACGUCAAGUCCUCAUGGCCCUUACGGGUUGGGCUACACACGUGCUACAAUGGUGUCUACAGUGGGUUAAUCCCCAAAAGACAUCUCAGUUCGGAUUGUCGUCUGCAACUCGACGGCAUGAAGUCGGAAUCGCUAGUAAUCGCGUAACAGCAUGACGCGGUGAAUACGUUCCCGGGCCUUGUACACACCGCCCGU